UAGGGAAUCUUCCGCAAUGGGCGAAAGCCUGACGGAGCAACGCCGCGUGAGUGAUGAAGGUCUUCGGAUCGUAACACUCUGUUAUUAGGGAAGAACAAAUGUGUAAGUAACUAUGCACGUCUUGACGGUACCUAAUCAGAAAGCCACGGCUAACUACGUGCCAGCAGCCGCUGUAAUACGUAGGUGGCAAGCGUUAUCCGGAAUUAUUGGGCGUAAAGCGCGCGUAGGCGGUUUUUUAAGUCUGAUGUGAAAGCCCACGGCUCAACCGUGGAGGGUCAUUGGACACUGGAAAACUUGAGUGCAGAAGAGGAAAGUGGAAUCCCAUGUGUAGCGGUGAAAUGCGGAGAGAUAUGGAGGAACACCAGUGGCGAAGGCGACUUUCUGGUCUGUAACUGACGCUGAUGUGCGAAAGCGUGGGGAUCAAACAGG
This 429-nucleotide ribosomal RNA is filed under the name Actinomycetes bacterium. RNAcentral describes it as "Actinobacteria bacterium partial 16S ribosomal RNA". It matches the Rfam family "Bacterial small subunit ribosomal RNA", at positions 355 to 776 of the family's 1533-position model. Lineage: Bacteria; Bacillati; Actinomycetota; Actinomycetes. The record is from RNAcentral.